This is a long non-coding RNA of Hyaena hyaena (striped hyena), 590 nucleotides long. RefSeq lists it as uncharacterized. The record is from RefSeq and is a predicted model, not a curated record. The transcript has 3 exons. NCBI's taxonomy places the organism in Eukaryota, Metazoa, Chordata, Mammalia, Carnivora, Hyaenidae.
CGGAGCCGCACGCAGACACAGAGAGAGAAGCGCGUCAGCGAGGGACAAGCGCUCACCUUCAGACAGAUGCGACUGCAACCCCCAACCAUGAGCCGUGUCCUUGGAGCAGAGGGACGAUUCGGCCCCUCCCGCCACACCCUCCGUCUCACUGGCUGUCUGGAGGGUGUUUCAUCGAAACCCUGCUGUGCUGGUUACAAAUCGGCUCCUCCAAACGCAGCUGGUAACUUCAGGAACCUAUGGAACUUUUAUUUGAAAACAUAUUCAUAUUCACAUGACAGCAAACCACAGAAAUAGUGCUGCGUGUAUUCCCGAUCCAAAGCAAUCAAACUACAAAGACCAAAACAUAAAUAAAAAACCUCGGUCUGCUUGGGUUUUCAUCUUCUUCUUAAACAACCCUGUGUCACAAAGGAGACCAAACUGAAAUUCUAAUGCUGUGCUGCCCAAUAUCCUGGGCAGCUGAAACGUGGCUACCCUGCGCUGAGGCUGCUGCGGUUGUGAACACGCUAGAUUUGCAAGACUUAAAAUGAAAAAAUAAUGUAAACUGUCUCAUGAGUAUGUUUUUUUAAUUGAUUACAUGUUUAAAUGAUAAU